RNAcentral lists this ribosomal RNA (253 nucleotides) under uncultured bacterium. RNAcentral describes it as "partial 16S ribosomal RNA". It matches the Rfam family "Bacterial small subunit ribosomal RNA", at positions 524 to 776 of the family's 1533-position model. The record is from RNAcentral.
GACGUAGGAGGCGAGCGUUAUCCGGAUUCACUGGGCGUAAAGCGCAUGUAGGCGGUUGCACAAGUCCGUUGUUAAAGCCCCUGGCUCAACUGGGGGAGGUCAAUGGAGACUGUGCGACUUGAGGGCAAUAGAGGCACGUGGAACUCCCGGUGUAGAGGUGAAAUUCGUAGAUAUUGGGAAGAACACCGAUGGCGAAGGCAGCCAUCUGGACCGACACUGACGCUGAGGCGCGAAAGCGUGGGGAGCAAACAGG